UACGUAGGGGGCAAGCGUUGUCCGGAAUUAUUGGGCGUAAAGAGCGUGUAGGCGGCCAGAUAAGUCCGCUGUGAAAUCUCGAGGCUCAACUUCGAGCUGUCGGUGGAAACUGUCUGGCUAGAGUCCGGAAGAGGAGAAUGGAAUUCCUGGUGUAGCGGUGAAAUGCGCAGAUAUCAGGAAGAACACCCGUGGCGAAGGCGGUUCUCUGGGCCUGUACUGACGCUGAGGAGCGAAAGCGUGGGGAGCGAACAGG
This 253-nucleotide ribosomal RNA is filed under the name uncultured bacterium. Its description in RNAcentral is "partial 16S ribosomal RNA". It matches the Rfam family "Bacterial small subunit ribosomal RNA", at positions 524 to 776 of the family's 1533-position model. The record is from RNAcentral.